RNAcentral lists this ribosomal RNA (534 nucleotides) under Alteromonas sp. Its description in RNAcentral is "bacterial SSU rRNA". It matches the Rfam family "Bacterial small subunit ribosomal RNA", at positions 383 to 909 of the family's 1533-position model. The record is from RNAcentral. Lineage: Bacteria; Pseudomonadati; Pseudomonadota; Gammaproteobacteria; Alteromonadales; Alteromonadaceae.
CUGAUGCAGCCAUGCCGCGUGUGUGAAGAAGGCCUUCGGGUUGUAAAGCACUUUCAGUUGUGAGGAAAAGUUAGUAGUUAAUACCUGCUAGCCGUGACGUUAACAACAGAAGAAGCACCGGCUAACUCCGUGCCAGCAGCCGCGGUAAUACGGAGGGUGCGAGCGUUAAUCGGAAUUACUGGGCGUAAAGCGCACGCAGGCGGUUUGUUAAGCUAGAUGUGAAAGCCCCGGGCUCAACCUGGGAUGGUCAUUUAGAACUGGCAGACUAGAGUCUUGGAGAGGGGAGUGGAAUUCCAGGUGUAGCGGUGAAAUGCGUAGAUAUCUGGAGGAACAUCAGUGGCGAAGGCGACUCCCUGGCCAAAGACUGACGCUCAUGUGCGAAAGUGUGGGUAGCGAACAGGAUUAGAUACCCUGGUAGUCCACACCGUAAACGCUGUCUACUAGCUGUGUGUGCCUUUAAGGCGUGCGUAGCGAAGCUAACGCGCUAAGUAGACCGCCUGGGGAGUACGGCCGCAAGGUUAAAACUCAAAUGAA